GAUGAACGCUAGCGGCAGGCUUAACACAUGCAAGUCGAGGGGCAGCGUAGAUUGCUUGCAAUCUGACGGCGACCGGCGAACGGGUGCGUAACGCGUAUAGAAUCUGCCUUGUACAGAGGGAUAGCCUUUAGAAAUGAAGAUUAAUACCUCAUGGUACUGAUUUCUGGCAUCGGGAAUUAGUUAAAGAUUUAUUGGUACAAGAUGACUAUGCGUCCUAUUAGCUAGAUGGUAAGGUAACGGCUUACCAUGGCUACGAUAGGUAGGGGGUCUGAGAGGAUUAUCCCCCACACUGGUACUGAGACACGGACCAGACUCCUACGGGAGGCAGCAGUGAGGAAUAUUGGACAAUGGGCGGAAGCCUGAUCCAGCCAUGCCGCGUGCAGGAAGACUGCCCUAUGGGUUGUAAACUGCUUUUAUACAGGAAGAAACUGUUCUACGUGUAGAACACUGACGGUACUGUAAGAAUAAGCACCGGCUAACUCCG
RNAcentral lists this ribosomal RNA (484 nucleotides) under uncultured Flavobacteriaceae bacterium. Its description in RNAcentral is "bacterial SSU rRNA". It matches the Rfam family "Bacterial small subunit ribosomal RNA", at positions 28 to 505 of the family's 1533-position model. The record is from RNAcentral. Lineage: Bacteria; Pseudomonadati; Bacteroidota; Flavobacteriia; Flavobacteriales; Flavobacteriaceae.